Molecule: long non-coding RNA, 3402 nt
Organism: Gasterosteus aculeatus aculeatus (three-spined stickleback)
Lineage: Eukaryota; Metazoa; Chordata; Actinopteri; Perciformes; Gasterosteidae
Source: Ensembl
CUUCCAGGCAGCCAAGACCCCCUCGAAGUGGUAAUGAAAAGUGUAACUUUAGCCUCCCAGCUGUACGUCUCAAUCCAUAAUCCUUCCCCAAAAACCUCACCGUAGUGCCGCCUACCACUCCCAUGGCGUUCCCAGCCUGUGCCGGGCUGGGCCUGUACUCUGAUUUAUGAGGCAGUCCUGUGUCAUACUCUCAACCUGAAAAGGAUUUCUUCUCUUAUGUGUACCAGGGUGGUCAGGGCAGCUCUCUGGAAAGACAGAAAGCCCCGUCUCCCGGGCCUCAAUCACCAGAGAGUCUUCUCACCCCUCUGAGCCAAUAACCAGGACAUUUUGGACAUUACCAGAAUCAGACGAGUCUUCAGUGUUUCAAUAGUGGUGUGUUUCAGCAGUGCAGAGGUCAGAGUCCAUGCAACCCGUGCCUACACAGCCGCAUGGCCAUAAUUUGGUAUGCAGAUGCACAGACGCAGCUUGCGCAAAGACAUCUAAACCCCGGGAAAUUACCCUCCGAGGACGGACGGCUUGAAAUUGAUGCCAGAGCAGAAGAGCGCACCUUGCUCCCCGCUCUCCUUUGUCACACCCAGAAAUUGCUCAAUUUCCCAGGAUGAGGUCUCCAUGGCUGGAGAAAAAAAAAAAAAAGAAGAAAAACCUGACAGAGACGCCGACGCGACCCCUUCCAUCGCUGCUGCCCUUGACGAGUCAAGAAAUGGAUCCUGACAGCCUCUACAGCAUUUAGCACCACAAUUAUCCCCUUUUCACAGCCUGGCUGCAUUAAUGUAAACCACACCAGGCAGUAGUUGCCACUCAGUGAUGAGCACAAUGUGGUGCAUCAUCGCUGGGUGAGCAAUUUGGUUCAAUUGUGCUGCUGUGUGAUCAUCAGUGCAAAUCACGGCCUGCUCAUUUAUUAAGCAAUUUCUGUUGGAGAAAAUUAGAAGGGAGACUCAUAAUUGGGCAGGAGAUAGUAAUACCUCUAAAAGCAACGAUAAUGGAUGAUGUGGCUGACAUCAAACAAAAGGAGCAAGCGAGUUAAGCCCGCAGCAACCCAUCAGGGAGGUGUGUAGCAUUGGGAAUGAAGCACCCCCCUUUGGUGUCCACCAGGAUUGUGUGUGUGUUUGUGUGUGGGGGGGGUGAAGGGUGAAGGGAGGGGGGGGGGGGGUGUAGCACAGACCAGAGUGACAAGGACUCACUCCCUGGAUGCGAGAACGAGUCACUCCGUAGGACGCUCGCAGGAUCCAUCCGUUGGCCUUAGCUUGACCUUUUGCUCCGACGGUGGCUAAUGGAGGGCUGGCCCUCGAUCAAUGCGCCGAGAGAUUGGGUUCGUUCCUCGUCCCCUUUCACCGGGCCGGGAGAAGGGCCGGCUGCUGCCAGGAGCCACGCCGCGAAGCCAUCGACCCCGCCGCUCUCCCAUCCUGUGGGUGACAGCUGCGGUGCCAACGAGCCCGGGGAAGCCACGCAGCCCUGCCACGUAGGAAGGACAGCCGGCGACUCCGUCUCCGUGGUGUCGGGAGGGAAAGUCACUGAUGAUCUGUUCGUGAAUGUCAGAUCUCCAUGUAAACAACCCCAGCAAACGCUUUGCUAUUGAGUAUGUGUUGAUAUGGAUGAAAACUGAAGAUUUGACUCGUCGAAGUGAUGUUUUUUAAUGCCAUUGUAUCCAGAUUUAAUAUGUGGCUCAUGAGGGUGUAAAAGUGUUUUAAAUCAGCAAACGCAAGCUUCAAAUGGACAGAUUCCAGCUGCUUGAUUUAAUAGAAGUCGAGUACAGGUGAUUACAUCUGGAUAAUACCGUUUUCAAAAGCUAAAAAAUGUUUUGUCAGUAUAAGAAUUGAUCAAAUAAAGCCUGACUCCAAGUGUUAGAAGUUGUUUGCAUUACUUUUGCACUUCAAAUGUUACCGUAGGGAAUAGCUUUCUUUUUUCUCAUGAAAGUUGCACUUUACAACCCAGAUGGUGCACCACUGUAUACCUUUAAUCUGCUCUUUUCUGUCAAUAAACAACGCCUGCAUUAAACGCACAAAACAAUAUUUACUGUGAAUUUUAAUUGCAAAUACUGCAAUUCGAACAUGUAAAGAUAUUCAAAACAAUAGCGGCAUAAUACAUUCAGUCCAUAUGGAGCGAGAGGAAGAGACAACCAAGAGGUUUCGCGCCGAUUGUUCUUUUUAUUAUCAUUAACAGUAAUGUGAUUCUGAAGCCUCCCGUGACCUCCUCACAGCAGCAUCUCAUCUCAGAAGUCAUUCAUUAGAACAAACAGAAGGCUGGCAGAAAGACUGCGAGAAAGAGACAUGGGGAGGGAGCAUAGUGUAAAAUAAAUUAAAUUGUGUUUAUUAGAUGAACCACUAUGAGCCGGCAAAAGAAAGCACGCUUCAGAUAUUCAAAGGAUUUAUCAUUGUGCCGUGUUUGGAGACGCAGCUGCCGCGUGGAGCCCGUGAUCCAGCUGUUGGUCUUGCGCAAUGUGUAAUCACAGUUACACUUACUGUCCAUUUUGUGUUGUAAGGUCCACAGGGAGUCUUGCAACAUGCUUCUGAGCGGUGCGUGUUUGGAUUGAGAUACAGCGUUUCUGUUCAAGACCAUAGUCGGCUGCAGGCUGUGGUGAAACUAAUCAGAAAGCUUCUUAUGUCUUCUUCCACUGAUACAACUGGAUUCUGGCCCAGUGUUUACUGAGUACGAUUCCUUAAACCGGAGUGACGGCAAAGGCCACCUCUCUCAAUGAAGUCCCCUCGGUUCCUGCUCGGCGAGAGCAGUCAGGCGGCGCCUCUUAUCGUACCAGUCCCGUCACGAUCGACCUCUAUACAUGUCCGCGUGUGCAUAUGCGAGGAUAAAAUGGGAUACGGAGCGGUCAGAGGCUCGGUUGGGCCAGGGUGACGGAAAGGGGGGGGACGGGCAUGCGGAUCCUUGGAGUGGUGUGACAGACUCCCCAGCCUCCUGGUAGGAUUUGUUGGAAUGUGAGAGAGGAGGAUUUUAGCACCAGGCGAGGCACGCCAGAGUGCUGCAGACUUCAUGCCAUCUGUCUCAGCCUCCAUCCUCUCUUUGCCAAACUCAUCAGACCUUUAUUUCCUCUCCCUCCGUCUCCUUCUCAUCCCCGUUCACAAGAGUAGCGGACAUACUGAGAUCUGCUAAUGUACUGGAGGGAGAAAAAAAUGGCUGAGCUUGAUGAACAGAUUAAAAAAAAAAUCUCGAUUGAUUAAUAUGUAUUUUUGGAGCUAAUUGUCCGACAGCCCUCGUGGAGAUGAAAUGUGUGUUCGAUAGUCCUGCCAUUUGUUACUGUUCAGGGAACAGGGAACGAGAGAUGGAGAUAUUCAUUCCAUAGCAGAUCUGUUGAUCAGUAAUAAUGAAAUGUGUUUCAAGUGACAGCCAAAAAGUUAAUGCAUCAUUAUAAACAAUUACCUUAAUUAACUUUUGUGUCACACUGUAUCACGC